This 467-nucleotide ribosomal RNA is filed under the name uncultured bacterium. RNAcentral's name for it is "partial 16S ribosomal RNA". It matches the Rfam family "Bacterial small subunit ribosomal RNA", at positions 28 to 506 of the family's 1533-position model. The record is from RNAcentral.
GACGAACGCUGGCGGCGUGCUUAACACAUGCAAGUCGAACGGAAAGGCCCUGCUUUUGUGGGGUGCUCGAGUGGCGAACGGGUGAGUAACACGUGAGUAACCUGACCUUGACUUUGGGAUAACUUCAGGAAACUGGGGCUAAUACCGGAUAGGAGCUCCUGCUGCAUGGUGGGGGUUGGAAAGUUUCGGCGGUUGGGGAUGGACUCGCGGCUUAUCAGCUUGUUGGUGGGGUAGUGGCUUACCAAGGCUUUGACGGGUAGCCGGCCUGAGAGGGUGACCGGCCACAUUGGGACUGGGAUACGGCCCAGACUCCUACGGGAGGCAGCAGUGGGGAAUAUUGCACAAUGGGCGGAAGCCUGAUGCAGCAACGCCGCGUGCGGGAUGACGGCCUUCGGGUUGUAAACCGCUUUCGCCUGUGACGAAGCGUGAGUGACGGUAAUGGGUAAAGAAGCACCGGCUAACUACGU